RNAcentral lists this ribosomal RNA (448 nucleotides) under uncultured bacterium. RNAcentral describes it as "bacterial SSU rRNA". It matches the Rfam family "Bacterial small subunit ribosomal RNA", at positions 330 to 797 of the family's 1533-position model. The record is from RNAcentral.
UCCAGACUCCUACGGGAGGCAGCAGUGGGGAAUAUUGCACAAUGGGGGAAACCCUGAUGCAGCGACGCCGCGUGAGUGAAGAAGUAUUUCGGUAUGUAAAGCUCUAUCAGCAGGGAAGAAAAUGACGGUACCUGACUAAGAAGCCCCGGCUAACUACGUGCCAGCAGCCGCGGUAAUACGUAGGGGGCAAGCGUUAUCCGGAUUUACUGGGUGUAAAGGGGGCGCAGACGGCGAUGCAAGCCAGGAGUGAAAGCCCGGGGCCCAACCCCGGGACUGCUCUUGGAACUGCGUGGCUGGAGUGCAGGAGGGGCAGGCGGAAUUCCUGGUGUAGCGGUGAAAUGCGUAGAUAUCAGGAGGAACACCAGUGGCGAAGGCGGCCUGCUGGGCUUUUACUGACGCUGGGGCUCGAAAGUGUGGGGAGCAAACAGGAUUAGAUACCCCAGUACCA